UAGGCUCAGGACGAACGCUGGCGGCGUGCCUAAUACAUGCAAGUAGAACGCUGAAGAGAGGAGCUUGCUCUUCUUGGAUGAGUUGCGAACGGGUGAGUAACGCGUAGGUAACCUGCCUUGUAGCGGGGGAUAACUAUUGGAAACGAUAGCUAAUACCGCAUAACAAUGGAUGACACAUGUCAUUUAUUUGAAAGGGGCAAUUGCUCCACUACAAGAUGGACCUGCGUUGUAUUAGCUAGUAGGUGAGGUAAUGGCUCACCUAGGCGACGAUACAUAGCCGACCUGAGAGGGUGAUCGGCCACACUGGGACUGAGACACGGCCCAGACUCCUACGGGAGGCAGCAGUAGGGAAUCUUCGGCAAUGGGGGCAACCCUGACCGAGCAACGCCGCGUGAGUGAAGAAGGUUUUCGGAUCGUAAAGCUCUGUUGUAAGUCAAGAACGGGUGUGAGAGUGGAAAGUUCACACUGUGACGGUAGCUUACCAGAAAGGGACGGCUAACUACGUGCCAGCAGCCGCGGUAAUACGUAGGUCCCGAGCGUUGUCCGGAUUUAUUGGGCGUAAAGCGAGCGCAGGCGGUUUGAUAAGUCUGAAGUUAAAGGCUGUGGCUCAACCAUAGUUCGCUUUGGAAACUGUCAAACUUGAGUGCAGAAGGGGAGAGUGGAAUUCCAUGUGUAGCGGUGAAAUGCGUAGAUAUAUGGAGGAACACCGGUGGCGAAAGCGGCUCUCUGGUCUGUAACUGACGCUGAGGCUCGAAAGCGUGGGGAGCGAACAGGAUUAGAUACCCUGGUAGUCCACGCCGUAAACGAUGAGUGCUAGGUGUUGGAUCCUUUCCGGGAUUCAGUGCCGCAGCUAACGCAUUAAGCACUCCGCCUGGGGAGUACGACCGCAAGGUUGAAACUCAAAGGAAUUGACGGGGGCCCGCACAAGCGGUGGAGCAUGUGGUUUAAUUCGAAGCAACGCGAAGAACCUUACCAGGUCUUGACAUCCCGAUGCUAUUUCUAGAGAUAGAAAGUUACUUCGGUACAUCGGUGACAGGUGGUGCAUGGUUGUCGUCAGCUCGUGUCGUGAGAUGUUGGGUUAAGUCCCGCAACGAGCGCAACCCCUAUUGUUAGUUGCCAUCAUUCAGUUGGGCACUCUAGCGAGACUGCCGGUAAUAAACCGGAGGAAGGUGGGGAUGACGUCAAAUCAUCAUGCCCCUUAUGACCUGGGCUACACACGUGCUACAAUGGUUGGUACAACGAGUUGCGAGUCGGUGACGGCGAGCUAAUCUCUUAAAGCCAAUCUCAGUUCGGAUUGUAGGCUGCAACUCGCCUACAUGAAGUCGGAAUCGCUAGUAAUCGCGGAUCAGCACGCCGCGGUGAAUACGUUCCCGGGCCUUGUACACACCGCCCGUCACACCACGAGAGUUUGUAACACCCGAAGUCGGUGAGGUAACCUUUUGGAGCCAGCCGCCUAAAGUGGGACAGAUGAUUGGG
This 1476-nucleotide ribosomal RNA is filed under the name Streptococcus thermophilus. RNAcentral's name for it is "bacterial SSU rRNA". It matches the Rfam family "Bacterial small subunit ribosomal RNA". Lineage: Bacteria; Bacillati; Bacillota; Bacilli; Lactobacillales; Streptococcaceae. The record is from RNAcentral.